UACAGAGGUGGCGAACGUUGUUCGGAUUUACUGGGCGUAAAGGGUCCGCAGGCGGUCCGAUGUGUCGGAUGUGAAAGCUCACAGCUCAACUGUGGAAUUGCAUUCGAAACUGCCGGACUAGAGUACUGGAGGGGAGAAGGGAACACAUGGUGUAGCGGUGAAAUGCGUAGAUAUCAUGUGGAACACCGGCGGCGAAGGCGCUUCUCUGGACAGAUACUGACGCUCAUGGACGAAAGUUAGGGUAGCGAAAGGG
Molecule: ribosomal RNA, 253 nt
Filed under: uncultured bacterium
Lineage: Bacteria
Description: partial 16S ribosomal RNA
Rfam family: Bacterial small subunit ribosomal RNA
Source: RNAcentral